GGUCAGUGAUGAUGGAUAAACGCUCUGAUGGCACUUUAUUAAAUGGCCACAUGCUUGCUCCCAGGGGCUCCUUUAUUUUCCAUUCUGCUCCAGUUGUGCUCUGAUGGAAAUGGAGCUCCUGACAGUGACCGAUGUUGUUGUUUCAGUCGAUGUUCUCACAGAGAGAUGUGGAAUGUCUCUAUAGCGCGCAUCUUACAGAAUUCAUCCCACAGGAGCUUUCGAGCAUGGUGGGAUUUAUCUCUGGUGCAUGCUUGCAAGUUUUCAAGCUGAGACC
Non-coding RNA from Stegostoma tigrinum, 274 nucleotides. RefSeq annotates it as small Cajal body-specific RNA 6. The transcript has a single exon. NCBI's taxonomy places the organism in Eukaryota, Metazoa, Chordata, Chondrichthyes, Orectolobiformes, Stegostomatidae. The record is from RefSeq and is a predicted model, not a curated record.